UCGAAGGGUCACUUCCAUAGAACUCAGAACCAACUGCCACGACUUCAUCAAAUCCUUCAAUAUGGAGCUCUUCUAGAGAUGGCAGCUGCCCCAAUGGUGGUAAGAGGAUGCAGUUCUUACAUCCAUAAAGAAACAACACUACCAUAUUUGAGAAAGAAGAGUUUCCAAGCCAGCCUGGAAACGUUGUACCCCGUAACCAGUAAUGGCAAGCUGUUUCACAUUUUCAGAAGGCUCCAAUUUCUCAAGUACUUCUCUCUCGUGUGGUGUGUCAUCCGUAUUGCCAUCCCACGUCAACCCCAACUCCUCAAUCUUCUUCUUACCCUUCAAAUCGGCAUCCAAAGCAUCUUGAGCAUUUGCAACAUCUCUGAGAUUCCGAAUAGAAAGUUUUUUCCUUAUAUGUGAGAGCUUCCCCAACUCUUUCAUGCUAGACCCGCUAUCUUUUCCCACGAUGUAAGAUUCCAAAAUUCGAAGCUUCGUGAGUUUCCCCAUUUUUGGUGGCAUCUCUUUCAAAUUUGUCCCUUCAAUAUCAAGAUGUUGUAAGUCGACCAAGUUGGAAAGGUUGGAUGGCAACUCCAUGAGAUGUCGGCACUCUUUAACAAUAAGCUUUGCAAAUAGUACAAGGUGCACACACUUUCAGGUAACCUUUCAAUGGCGGUGCAAGAAAGGUCCAAGUGCCGCAAAUGUUUUCAAGUUGCCAAUGGAAUUGAGCAACUGAGAAGAAAUAUCUUUUAGAUGAAUAAAGAUAGCAUUCGCAAGCGCUUAAGAUUUGGCAAGAUGUCAUUCAGUGCCUCAUAUCACUUCCCUUAAAAACAUAGUGGAAACAAGGCGCGCAAAUGUUGGACUCCAUGAAUGCUACGAAAUAUCCGAAGUCCUCGUCAUAUGCUCCUGAAGUGAUUGAUAAAUAACGAGUCCUUUCUGGAAGCGAGCAUGAAUGUUCACCCUCCAACCCAGAGCCCGAUUCAUUAAUACCAAGCUUAAAGCAAAAUUCUCCUGACACGUAUUCAGCUAAAUCACUUAUGAUGUCAUGCAUGCUGAAAUCUGAUUGAACAUGAAGUGAUUGCUGGAAAAGUGACCUGGAGACAAGAUCAUCAAAGUAUUUUUCACCUAUAUCUUCCAUCUCCUCAACUCCUCUGGACUGGCCUAAAAAACCAUGUGCCAUCCAUUCAGUGAUUAAUCCAUUUUUCUUGAAUACAUAACUCUUGGGAAAUAUUGCACAAUAAACAAAACAACGUUUCAGGUGUGAAGGGAGAUAAUAAUAGCUCAAUGUUAGAGCUGGAGGGAUGUUUUCAUUCGACAAUCCCCACAAACUGCUAUUGGAUAUCUUCUCCCAUUGCCUGACAUCUCCUACGGAGUGCAAAAGACCCCCAAGAGUUUUCGCUGCCAGCGGUAAACCUUUGCACUUUCUCGCUAUUUCUCUGCCAAAUGCUUCCAAGUGUGAGACUGCUCCAGAAUUUACACCACUAAAUGCAUCCCUUGCAAACAAUUUCCAGCAAUCUUCAUCGCUUAUUACAUCCAAGCGGUGAGAGGGGAUGACUGUUUGCGUGACUUUUGCUACAUCUUCAUUCCGUGUUGUCACGACAAUCUUACUUCCGUGCUCCACAUACAGCAAAGGUAGCAGUAGUUUAUCCCAUUCAUUGUACUUAAUGUUCCACGCGUCAUCUAGAACAAGUAGAAGUUUCUUCCCUUUCACUGCCUCCAUUAGAGAUUCAUCUGGUUCUUUGGUGCGGCAAGUACUUGCGUUGAUCUUAUCAAGAAUAUCCUUAAUAAUCCUGGCAACAUCAAAUUGUUGGAAGCCCAGACCCAGGCUUUGAGCUCGAAGCACUCAUCUAUCGUUGUAGAUAAGCUGAGCAAGAGUGGUUUUACCAAUCCCGCCCAUGCCCACAAUGGAACGCACAACUAAAUUUGAGCCAUCUGUGUUGUGUUGUGUCAACAAGUGCUCCAUUAUGGCUUCCUUAUCAGCGUCCCUUCCAUAUACAUAGAGAUUCAUUAACCAGUGGAGUUGUUUUCUCUGACAAUGGUCUCCAUCCACCAGUACCUUCUAUGUGGCGCAGAUCACCCUUGUGUUUAAGUAAACGUUCAAGCUUCUCAAGGAUCUUUUGUAACUCUGCUUCCAUCUCUUUCAUCCUUCUAUUAGCUGGAUUUAGAAAUGGAAACCGAUCCUUACCUGCAAUGGUGGACUAAAUAUGUGAGAUAGAAUUCAGGAAAACAUUAUAAUUUAUAAUAUCAAAACAUAAACAUUAAGAUUUUUACAUCUAGUGAAUUAAUAAGUUAAUACCAUUAAAUUGUUGAUGCUAUAAACAUUAAGAUUUUUACAUCUAGUGAAUUAAUAAGUUAAUGCCAUUAAAUUGUUGAUGCUAGCUUAACGUAAUUAAGCAGUGAAAGUCAAGUUUUAAAAAGAUAUUGAUUCAAUGCCAUAAGUGAUUUUCAUAGCCCUUACUAUAUAAUAUUAUUUAUAUAUAUAUAAUGAAAUUAAUUUUUUUUCUAAAAUAAAAAUGGAAAAAUAAUUGUUUAGCAAUUAAAAAGUAAAGUAUUUAUUUUUCAUAUUUAAAAUAAAGAUAUGAGCCUUUCAUGUAUAAAACAUCAUUCCAAUUUCUAAUUGUGCUAACAAAAAAUCAAUGCAUAAUUCUUGGUGAUUAUUAUAUAUAAUUACUAAGAAAUUUAAUAUUUAUAAUAAUGGGUUUUGAAUCUCGUAAGUCCUAACUAUUCAUCACUAAAAAUAUUGAAAGACAAUUCAAUUUUAUAUCCCUUAUAUUUUCAUAAAAAAGUAAGAGUCAUUCAUGUUCUCAUAAAAAUAUAUAUAAUUUAAUUGACAAAAUUUAUAUAAAUAAUUCAGAUUUUAAAAAUAUAGCAUUUUGGAUUUUAAAAAAAACAAACAAACAAAUAGAGGGAUCAAUACAAACAUUUUAUGAGGAAGCAAGGUCUCUAGGUGCAAGAACUUAUGCUUACCCAAUUGCUGUCAGGUCGAGGGGCAUCAAUGUCCUUGGAUCGUAGAUAUUCAUAAUCAAUCUCCUCCGAUAUGUCCUCAGCUUCAUAGACAGCGUGUUUAACAUCAUUAAGCCACUUCUUCACAGCACGAUUUGUAAUCUGCUUCUCCUCCGCAUCGUCGAGUAGUCCGUUGACAGUAUUCAGUGUUUCAUUCAGCUUUUCCAGAAGACCAUCAUCGAGUUUGUGGCUUUGGAAGAAGCCCAGAACCUCACGAGAGGCCAACCUGUCGACCAGAACCUCAAUGAGAGCAGAGAGAAUUGAUCCUCCGAUCAACUCCAGAGACAUGGUGGAUUUUUGCAGAAGGGUGAGGGUGGGAAUAUGUGAGAGAAAAGGAGUUGUGGAAAGCAGGAGCCUUGGUGGAUUUUUGCUAAAGGGUGAGAGAGUGAUUAUGUGAGAGAGAAUGAUAAGCCAAAUAGAAAACCCGAGGAAGCCGGCUUCGAGUGUGUUUGUCCUUGACGCAGUGUAUGCGUUUUCUCUCAAUGUAUAGAAAUGAUGGGCCCACUGCCCAAGGUUGGAACUUGGAUAUGAAAAAGAUUUUUUUUUUUCUGCUUUUUACAUGCUGGAUCACAGGUUAAACCUUCUUGAUCUGCUAAAAAAAACAUUCAAAAAUUAUCUUUGCAUCCUUUUUCUUUCUCCUAUCAUUCAUUACAAUUGCUUGUCUUUCUUUGAACAAUACAAUUGCCCAGAAAAUUCUGGUUUUGCUAUCAACAUGAUACAAUAGCAAUGAACAAGUCUAUUUCAUUAAAAAUUCAGAUUUGUAAUUUACUCGUAAACUAGUCGACUUAUCAGGUCAACCUGAAACUUGAAUGACUCGGUAAAAUACUAGUAAAGACCAUUUUCUUCAAAUGUAUUUUUUUCUCCUAUCUAGGAACCUUUUAUAUAUUUUAUUUUUUUUAUUUAGUUACUCAUUUCAAAAUUCACUAUAUAAAUAUUAGAAGAAUAUUUUAUUUUUUUAAUGUGAUAUUUUGAAGCCCUUUAAUAUAUAUACUUUAUGUUCUUCAAAAAAAAAUUAUGUUUUUUCAAAUGUAGAAUAAAAAACCUUUUUUGUUUAAAUACUUCAACUUAAAAAAAUAAGAUAGUAUAUUUUCAAAGUAGAAUAAAAAAUCUUUUGAAAUAAUCUUUUAAACUUAAUUGCUUACAACAUGUAUAGCCUAUAUCCAUAUAGAUUAUUUUUUAUUUUUUUAUAUAAAAUAUUAAAACCUCAUAUUUUUUUAAUUUUUCCUGAUUGACCCGAGUCAACCCAUGUAAACUAGGACCUAGCCCCUUAGUCGGGUUAAUCCUUAGGCUGAGUUUGAUAACCAUGAUUGUCAUGAGAAUACAACUUUAAAAAUGCAAUUAAAAAGAAAUAAAGUGAUGUGAACAGUUAAAAAAUCAAAUAAAUAGAUAAAACCUUUUCUUUUUUAUUUUAUUAAGGGCCUCUUUUAAUUAUUUUUUUUAUUAUGUGUUUAGAGAUAAAUUUAUGGACACUAAAAUCAACAUUUUUUAUUCUUGAAAUACAACUCACCAAAAUACCUUUUUAUAUAUAUCUAACGACUUUCUAUUUAUACUCAUGACAUCAAAAAAUUGAAAUACGAGGAGAAUGAAGUUUUAGAAUUAAAUAUAAAUAGCUAAAACUACAAGAAUAAAAGAAAAAACUUUAGGAACCCAAAUGAACUUUUAUGAGAAUUUCAAGGAUCAAAACUCAAUAUUCAGAUAGUAAAACGAGUGGGAAAUGAAGUUUAAAACUAAAAUGUAAACACAUAAAACUACUAGGAUUAAAAAUAUUUUUUUAAAAAACUUCAUUUGGUAUUACUCUUAGAACGUAAUUGGUACAAGGCUUAAAAAUAUGGGUGAAAUUAUCACAUAAAUAAUAAUUAUUAUUAUAAGAGCAAAUUUAAAAAGUGUAAAUGUUGGUUUUUAAAAAUGACUGAUGUAUUUGAACAGUUAAAUACUUGUGAAAAAAAGAGAGAAUAAUUUAAUAAUUAACUUCAACUUUUCCAUUAAUUAAUUAAGAUCUAAAAAAUCCAAAAAUUAUAAGUUUCUAAUAUAAAGUUAAAAAAUUUACAUAUAUAUAAAAAAGAUAUUUCAUAAAAUUCUAUUUUUUUUUAAUAAUUCACAGAAACUCAAUGCAAGACUUCAUAUGUUGAAUCUUCUCAUUAUCAACACUUUCAAAUAUAUCUUUUUUGAUAUAAGUAACCAAACAAUCAUUAAAUAAAUUAUCCCCAACUCGAUUGUGUAAUCGACUUUUGACUAAUUUCAACGUUGAAAAUAUUCUCUUUACUGAUGCAAUAACCACGCGUAAAAUUAAUGCUAAAUUUAUCACGUAAUAUAUGUUAUUUAUUAAAUUUAUUACUUAUAUAUUAAAAUGUAUGGGAUUUUCACCGUGUAUUUGUUAUUAUACAAUUUUUUUUUUCAGUUUAUCCAUGACAACUAGAGUGCCGAGCUCAAAAUGCUAGGGUCUGACAUAGUACCCGACCUAAUUACCAAACCCUAGAUUUGGUAACUAUGCAAGACCCAAGCAUCCCUUGCAAACAACUCCCAGCAAUAUUCAUAGCUUAUUGCAUUCAAGCGGUGAAAGGGGAUGACAGUUUGCGUGACUUUUGCUACAUCUUCUUCCCGUGUUGUCACGACAAUCUUACUUCCGUGCUCCACAUACCGCAAAGGUAGCAGUAGUUUAUCCCAUUCAUUGUACUUGAUGUUCCACGCGUCAUCUAGAACAGGUAGAAGUUUUUUCCCUUUCACUGCCUCCAUUAGAGAUUCAUCUGGUUCUUUGGUGCGGCAUGUACUUGCGUUGAUCUUAUCAAGAAUAUCCUGAAUAAUCCUGGCAACAUCAAAAUAGAUAACAACUACUGUAUAAAUAAUAAUUUUUAAAAUUUUUAAUUGAAAUCUAUUUUUUAAUCUAAUUAUUGGACACAUAUGAACAUUUUGACUCAUAAUUAAUUUUUUUAAAAAAAAUUCAUAAAAUUAUAAUUUUUAUGUGAAAUAAUCCACUGUUUAAUACAAUAAACUUCAAUUAAAUGACCAAUUAAGCUAGAUGAUUGAACUUUCAAUUAAUUUGUUAACUUGCGCUAACAUUUACCAAUGUUACUGUUUGAAAAUGUAAAAGUAAGCUAUUUCACUAAAAAAAAAUUUCGGUCUAGCAUCACUAAGCCACCUCUGCACAGCAGGCUUGGUAAUCUGUUUCUCCUCCGCGUCGUCGAGAAGUCCGUUGAGAGUAUUCAGUGUUUCUUUCAACUUUCCGAGAAGACCAUCAUUGAGCUUGUGGCUUUCGUCUCAUUUGCCCUGAAACCAAGCAUACGUUGUGGAAUUGAAAAGUAAGCAAGAGUUGCAAUAAAUCUCGUAAGUUAUGGAUUGAUUUGGUUCUACGAGGAUUAAUAUCACAACCAGCUUUGAAAAGCGAUAUGUUUUUGAUUUUUUGUUGUUUUUUUUAAAUGUUUUUUAAUUAAAAAUAUAUUAAAAUAAUAUUUUUUAUUUAUUAAUUAAAAAUAAAUUAUUUAAAAUAAAGAAAACAAUUAAAUUUUUUUUAAAAAAAAAAUUUAAAAUGUAAAAAUAAACAGCCUUGAAGAAGGUUUUUGAGAGUAUAGUAAUACUUGCUUUUAAAAAAAAAAAUUUGCUUAUGUGUGAGAGCUUCCCCAGCUCUUUCAUGCUAGACCCGCUCUCUUUUCCCACAAUGUAAUAUUCCAAAUAUCGAAGCUUUGUGAGUUUCGUUAUUUUUGGUGGCAUCUCUUCCAAAUUUGUCCCUUCAAUAUCAAGAUAUUGUAGGUUGACCAAGUUGGAAAUGUUGGAUGGCAACUCCAUGAGAUGUCGGCACUCUCUUAACAAUAGAGUUUGCAAAUAGUACAAGGUGCUCACACUUUCAGGUAACCUUUCAGUGGCGGUACAAGAAAGGUCCAAGUGCCGCAAAUGUUUUAAGUUGCCAAUGGAAUUGAGCAACUGAGAAGAAAUACUAAGGCCCCGUUUGUUUGCAGGAAAGUAAAUUCCUUUUGGAAAAUGAAUUCCGGGGAAAGUGAAUUCCUGGAAAGUGAAUUCCGGGAAAGUAUUUUCCGAUGUUUGGUAGUGUUAUAGAAAAUACUUUCCAGUGUUUGGUUGUGUUAUGAAAAAUAAAUUGGAAAAUAAUUUAUUAAUAAAUUAAUUUUUUUUUCAAAUUUAUCUAAUAUAUAUAAAAUAUUUAAUAUAAAAUAUUUAAUCACUUACAAUAAACAAAAUAAAAUCUAAAAUGUAUAAUGAUGAAUUUUUUUUAUUAUUAUAUUCUAUAUUCAUACAUAGCUUAUUUUAUAAAAUAUAACUAUAUAUAUCAUAUCAUAUUAUAAAGAAAUAAGCUUGUGAAAUAUUUUUUACUAUUCUAUGAAACCAUUUAUAAUUUCAUUACAUACGAAAUACAUCCGACAAAAACUAUAGUUUUAAUAAUAUUUUUAGCAUGUAAUAAAAUUGGAUAAAAUAUUAAGGUAUAAAAUUCACUCUAAACUAUUUUUUUUUAAUGUUAAAAAAAUAGCACACUUAUAUUUAUAUAUAUAUAUAAAAAAAAAAAAAAACGGAACAGUGCACUAAAACUGCACUGUUCACUCUUUUUUAGUGAACAGUGUAUGCAAUACACUGUUCAUUGUAAUUGCACUGUUCAAUGAACAGUGCAAUUACCAUGAACAGUUACAGAAAAACACGCAGCUGGCUCAGGAAAGUGUUUUCCGAGAAUUAAAAACGGAAAACACUUUCCUUAUGUUAAACUUAACAUUUUCCUUUGACUGGAAUUAACUUUCCUUUGACUAACUUUCCGGAUGGUUGCCAAACACUGGAAAAUGAGGAAACUGAAUUCCUGGAAUUCAGUUUCCUUGAAACAAACAAGGCCUAAGAGAACAAACAUAUAGACUUUUAAAGGAAAAGAAAAGAAGAAGAUUCAUGGAAGCCGGUUUUAAACUUCCUAACAAUAUUAAAUUAUUUAUAUUAUAUUCACACUUGGUAAAAUUACUAGCCACAACCUUCUUUGCCUCCACUAAUUUCUGAGCAAGAUCAUCGAUUCCUUUUUAUCUCUGGAAAUUCUUCACAAGAUCUCAGGUUAAGAAUAUAAGUUUCGAGUUGAUUAUAAAUUGUUACAAGCUUAACCAUGUAAGCCGGCCGUGCUGGCAUCCCUGACUGUUUGCCGGGGAUCAUUUUGUAAUGAUUUUCUCGUCGGACGUGAUCUUUCUUCUCUACUGUAUUAAUGAUGCAUCAUUUAGUACAAAUCUUUACAUCUUGAAAAGCACCGAUGAAAAUGCAUCUGAUGUUCUCUGAACGUGAAUCUACAAUGGCCUUCGGGCGGCAAUUUGGGUCCUACUUGUAUUGGCUUCUUCUGCUUUAUUUCCUUCUCUAAUAACAGGGGAUGUCCACAGAUUUUCCAUUACAGGACCUGAUCAUCACAUAUGCUUUGUUAUUUGAUAGCAAUUUUCCACUUCUGCGGUCCAUUCCUACCAUCUAUUUGAAAUCUGUGACAUCCCACCAGCUCUUGAAAAGAAGGGUGCAGUGCAGAACCCUACCAUUCUAUGAAAUGUUAGGAGAUGAGGUCAAGAUUUCUGAGUCAUGAAGUUGUCGAUUCUUGCGAAAGGGUGAGAGAGAGAGAAUGAUAGAAGUAGAAAGCUAAUAAACCACGGAAUUCCAUGAUGGGAACACGUGGACUUUAAAGGAAAGGAAGAGACAAGAAAACGCGUGGAAGCGGUAUGUAUAAAUAAAUUUGAUAAUCGAAUAAUAAAAAAGAUAAUUUAUGUGUUUAAUACAAUAAAUUUAAAAAUAUAUAAACAGUUAAACCGUAAAAAUUAUUAUGGAUUAAUUAUCUUCUUGUGGACAUCCAUAAAAUAUUAAUAAUAAGUUUUUUACAUGAGAAGAAUGAUAAAUGAUAAAUUAUAAAUUUAAUAUAUAUUAAAAUAAAAUUAACUUAAUUAGAUAUAUAAAAAUUGAUGAAAGAAAUAUUUUAUAAUAUAAGAAACAAAUCAAGUCGUUAAAUAGAUAAAAUGUUGAUAGCAACCAUAUUCAUUGCACAUUUAAAUUAAUCCUAGAAAUUUUAAAAGUUGUAGUUUAAUUGGUUAAAUUUUAGAUUUUUUUUAAAAAAUUACUGGUUUGAAUUUUAAAAUUUUAAAAUCAUUAAAAAUUUAUAUAAUUAUUAAUUUUAAAAUUUAUAAAAUUAAUUGAGAUAUUGGUGUAAAUAUCAAUAAUACGCUGCCGUGGAUAGCACAUAACUUGGUGCAUCGGAAGCACGAUGUUAAUUUCCAGAGCCACCAAUGAUGCGCCGCCGUGGAUAGCAAAGACGAGUUAAUUUUAGGACUCUUUUGACUAUUCUUCAUGCAAAUAUUUUUUAAAAAAUUAUAAAAUAUAAUUUUCAAUAUAAAAAUAAAUUGAUGUAUUGCCAAUGUGGAAACCCAAAGAAUAUACAACCUUGGUGAAAUUAACAGGUGAAUACGACCGUGCCCUUUCAUUUUUCCAUGCCAAACGCUCCAGAGAGCUAGCGUUCUCUUCUUUGGUUUAUUGACCGUGCAUGUCCCUUACAUAAGGGAAUUUUUAUUUUUGUGAUGUAAAAGUAUUUUUGAAAAAAAAUUAUUAUUUUUCAGUUUUAUUUCAAAUUAAUUUUCAAAAUGAAUCUUUAAUUGUGGCAUUCACUGGGUUCUUCAAGAAUUUAGCACAUGACAUGUUAAGUUUUCAGUAAUUAAAAAAAAAGGGCCAAAUGUUUUCACCUCGGGCCACACCGAAAUGAUAGGCAGGAUUGCCGUCACCGUCACGGGCAAGAAGGAUCCGACAUGUACAAUAUUAAAUUCAUGGAAGCCGGUUUAAAACUUCCUAACAAUAUUAAAUUAUUUAUAUUAUAUUUAGGGCUGGGUCACAAAAUAAAUUUUUUUAAAAAAACUAAAUUAAAAAAAAAAACUUAAAAGGCCAACAUUUCAGUUAUUUUAUUAUUUGAGCUGAAACUAUAAACAUUGUUAAAAAAAUUGUUGAAAAAAAUUUCCUUACAAGGCCGGAGUCGUUGCCUGCCUCCUAUCUCCGCCACUGAUCAUAUCCAUACUUGGUGCUCAAUGUAUUAAUCUUUUAUAUCAGCAUGAUUAAGGCAUCAUCAAGUGGAUUAAGUUUGGAUUGACUGUCUUCAAAUGGGCAUAAAUAAGAUAAGAAUAAUAAGUUUUCAUCCAUGCCUUUAAGAUGAAGGAUGGACCCGAGUUUUAAAGUAUAAAAUAAUAUAAAUAUAUAACUAAAUUAAUUAAGAUUUAAAAAAUCUAAAAAUUAUAAGUUUCUAAUAUAAAGCUUAAAAAUUUAUAUAUGUAUUAUAAAAAGAUGAUUUAUGAAAUUUUAUUUUUUUAUAAUUUAUAAUUGUUCUUUGUAAGAUUUUAUAUGCUGAAAACAUUGUAGGAUUUUCUCAUUAUUAACACUUUUAAAUAUAUCUUUUUUUAUAUAAUUAACCAUAAUCAAACAAUCAUUUAAUUAAUCAUACAAUCAUUUAAUCAAUCAUCUCUGAUUCGAUUGCAUAACCAGCUUUUAAUCAAUUUUAUCGCUGAAAAUAUUCUCUUUAUUGAUGAAGUGUUUUGUAUCCAUCAAUUUUUAAGCAAGAUCAUUUAUUCAUUUUACCUUUGUAAAUUCUUCACAGGAUCUCAUGUCAAGAAUAUAAGUUUCAAGUUGAUUAUAAGUGCUGCAAGCUCAACUAUGAAGAAAAUACAUGGAUAGAAUUAAGCAAGAUGAAUCAACUUUUGCUUAUCACAGGCCAUUAUUUGCCACUCCAACACUACAAAGGGAAAGACUCUUUUCCUUGGCCAACAAGCUAUAUUGGCUACAGUUUUGCCUCGGGUGUAUCAUUUAUUAUUAUUUUUUUUUUUACAAAAAAGUACUUUGAUGCUUUCAAAUUGAUUCAUCAACUUUUAUAUAUAUAUAUAUAUAUAUAUAUAUAUAUAUAUAUAUAUAUAUAUAUAUAUAUAUAUAUAUAUAUAUAUCUUUUAGAUCGUUUUGAUGCGCUAAUCUUAAAAAUAAUUUUUAAAAAUAAAAAAAAUAUCAUUUUAAUGUAUUUUAAUAUAAAAAAACUUUGAAAAACAAUUGUAAUUACACUACCGAAUACUCAUGGGAUAUAAAAUUGUGACCUCAGGGAACAAGUCAGCUUAUUGAGGAGAAGUAGAAAUAUGAGCAUUACAAAUCAAGCCUGCUUGAGCUUCCUCUAGGCAAUCAAGUUAAAGACUAAAUUUGAUGCAAAGUACAAAUCUUAAUAGAACUCGUUGAAAAUAAUUUAGAUAAUUUUUUUCUUAAUUUCCUUAUAUUGUUGGCAAAAAGUUUGCGAAAAGGUGGCAAACUUGUUCGCAAUACAGAGUUCCAAGUACAACAACACAUGCAAGCAAACAUCCGACUCUGUCAAGAUCUCUGGAUCUGUUGCUUGCACUGGGAUCAAACAUAUCAUUUUGGAUGUCCUGAUUUUUGAAAUGCUGCAUCGUUGGCCAGCAGUUAUCCCUUUCAGGUUUUACCUUAAUUUUCUUUUCACUUUGCCAGCAUCCUCAUUUCAUCCUGGCCAUAGGCCAUCUAUCGAGUUUAAUCCUGAACAUAGAUCCAUCAAGAAUAUAAUGCUAUUAGUAUUAAGCAUCUGUUAAAUAUUCUGAUCAAAGUUUUUCUUUUAAAUAUCUCAUAAAAUACCAUGUUAGCAAGAUCACUAUUGUUCUUGUUUUCAUUUCUUAAUAACUCUGCUUUGAAAACAGAAUCUCAAAUUACUUUAAACCUCAACAGAAAACAAUAAGAAAACAGGAAUUAUGAUCUUGGGCUGGCAUUUGCUGAUUCACUGUAAAUCAUGCCUUUGUUUUUGAACAAAUUGCUGGGAACCUAUCUCUACCUAAUGUGGUGAUGGGCUGUGCGGUGAAGAUCUGUUGUGUGAAAAUGCCAUGCUCCAAAAAUAGAAUUUAAAACAAAGCAGAUGCAAGGCAGAGAAUUUAGUAAAUACCGGAGCACGUUGGACAAAUGACAGGAGAGUGUUACUGCAUAAUUCUUCAUCCUCUAAUUAGAAAUUUUUAUACUGUGGAUGUGAGAAAUUUUGGGCCAAUUUUCCCCCGUCUCCCUUUCACACCUUGUGGCCAGCAAAGGACAACCGAUAAUCUUAAGAUAUUCAAGGGAGGAGGGCAGCCCUUCUUCUGGCAUGAACUCAAGCUUAGGAGAAUGCGAGAUCAACAAUUUGCGAAGAGAGGUGAAGUGUUGAAGCCCCGUAUAGUUCAGAGAUUUAAGAUUUCUGAGAUCUGAGAUUUGAAGAGAUUCAAGGGAGGAGGGCAGCCCCUCACCUGGCACGGACUCAAGCUUGGGAGAACUAGAGAUACGUAAUUUACGAAGGGAGGUGAGGUGCCGAAGCCCCUUAUAUUCCAGAUCUUCAAGAUUCAAGAUUUCAAGGUUUUCAAGGGAGGAGGGAAGCAUGUCUUCUGGAAGGGACUCCAGCUUAGGACUCUUGAGAAUCAAUGUGCGAAGAGAGGUCAGGUGCUGAAGCUCCUUGUAGUCCCGACCUCGUUGAUCCCAUAAUUGAAGGCAUUCAAGGGAGGGAGGCAGCCCCUGCAACGAUGCAAGCUUUGGACAAUUCCAGAUCUUCAAUUUGCGAAGAGAGGUGAUGCGCUGAAGCCCAUGGUUCCAGAGAUUCCAGUGUCAUGACAUGAAGGUAUUCAAGGGAGGAGGGAAGCGCCUGCUCUGAUAUGGACUCAAGCUUAGGGCAACCCUCGAUACUCAAUUUCCUAAGAGAGGUGAGGUGAUGAAGCCCCUUAUAGUCAAGAGACUUCAGAUUUCCCAGACGUUUGAUUUUAAGGGUUGUGAGAGUAGAGGGCAACGUCUCCUCGUCAAAAGACUCCACAUCGUUCCCAGUAAAUCUGAAGCAUGAAAGAGAAGGGAGUGCUUGCAAACCACAUACCUUGAGCUUGAUACAAUCCACAAUGCAAAGUGUGUGUAAUUUGGAGGGUAAGGCCUCCUUCAGGAAACGAAUCAACUUCUGGAAGUGAUCUCAAUUGCAAAUCCUCAAGGGAAGGGAGGAGGGAAUGCAUGUUUUCUGGCAAAGACUUCAAAUAUAAGCAACCCUCUAACACAAGGCUUGUCAAAUCUGGGGCAGCUAGUCCUUCUCGGGGGAAAGACACCAAAUUAGGACAGUGUCUGACAGUCAAAUGACGGAGACCAGGAAGAGAUCUCUCGCCUAUACAAAGAGAUUCGAGAUUGAGACAUUGUUUGACUGUAAGUGUGGAUACCUGGGGUAAAAGGUCUAGCCGGCAGGAGUUAAAUGAACUACAUCUAUCGAUUUCAACAUCUGUGAAAGAAGAGGGAUCCACAUGACUCAUUUGCUCCAUUCCCUUCAGUUGGGGAUAUUCUCUAAAUUGAAGGCACCGCCCACCGCCAUAUAAUACCGAUGCAUUUAUACGACCACUAGAACCAUCAAAUACAUUGAUUUCGGUGAGCAAUGGAGCCUCUGGAAUUGAAACCACAAGCUGUGGACACGCUCUAAUCUCAAGUAUCAAUAAAGAAGGAAGGUGAUUAGGCAAGCCAUUUGUUAACUCGGGACAACCUGCUAUCAAGAGCUUUGCAAGAUGAGGGAAAGCACCAGCUACAUCUGUAUUCCAUUCCUGCCAUUUUUUCAUCCCCUCGAACUUUAAUAUUUUGAGGGAUUUAAAUGGCUUCUCCAUCAAAGAGUCACUCCCAUAGAACUCAGAGCCAACCGCCACGACUUCAUCAAAUCCUUUAAUUUGGAGCUCUUCUAGAGAUGAAAGCUGCCCCAUUGGUGGUAAGGAGAUGCAGUUCUUACAUCCAGAAAGUGUCAACGCUACCAUAUUUGAGAAGGAAGAGUUUCCAAACCAACCUGGAAACAUCGUACCCCCAUAACCAGUAAUGACAAGAUGUUUCACAUUUUCAGAAGGCUCCAAUUUCUCAAGCACGUCUCUCUCAUGUUGUGUGUCAUCCGUAUUACCACCCCAUAUCAACCUCAGCUUCUCAAUCUUCUUCUUACCCUUCAAAUUGGCAUCCAAAGCAUCUUGAGCAUUUGCGACAUCUCUGAGAUUCCGAAUAGAAAGUUUUCUCCUUAUAUGUGAGAGCUUCCCCAGCUCUUUCAUGCUAGACCCGCUAUCUUUUCCCACAAUGUAAUAUUGCAAAGUUCGAAGCUUCGUGAGUUUCCCCAUUUUUGGUGGCAUCACUUUCAAAUUUGUCCCUUCAAUAUCAAGAUGUUGUAACUCGACCAAGUUCGAAAUGUUGGAUGGCAACUCCAUGAGAUGUCGACACUCUCUUAACAACAGAGUUUGCAGAUAGUACAAGGUGCUCACACUUUCGGGCAACCGUUUAAUUAAUGUCUGAGAAAGGUCCAAGUGCCGCAAAUGUUUCAAGUUGCCGAUGGAAUUGGGCAACUGAGAAGAUUUAUAGCUCCACCGAUAUAAAGAUAGCGUUCGCAAGCGCUUAAGAUUUGUCAACAUGUCAUUCAGCACCCCACUAUCAAUCCCCCCCACGUAUGUUAGUGGAGACAAGGUGCGCAAAUGUUGGACUCCAUGAAUGCGAGGAAAUAUCUUAGAGACCCCAUCAUAUAGUGUUGAAGUGAUUGAUAAAUGACGAGUCCUUUCUGGAAGCGUGCAUGAAUUUUCACCCUCCAACCAGAGCCCGAUUCUCCAUCCAUAACAAACUUAAAGCAGAAUUCUCCUGACAUGUAUUCAGCUAGAUCACUUGUGAGGUCGUGCAUGCUGAAAUAUGAUGGGGCGUAAAGUGAUUGCUGAAACAAUGACCUAGAGACAAGGUCAUUGAAGUAUUUGUCACCUAUUUCUUCCAUCUCCUCAACACCUCUGGACUGGACUAGAAAACCUUGUGCCAUCCAUGAAGUGAUUACUUGAUUCUUCUCAAAUACAUAACCCUUGGGAAAUAUUGCACAAUAAGCAAAACAACGUUUGAGGUGUGAAGGGAGAUAAUAAUAGCUCAAUGUUAGAGCUGGAGGGAUGUUUUCAUUCGACAAACCCCACAUGUUGCUAUUGGAUAUCUUCUCCCAUUCCUUGACAUCUCCUUCGGAAUGCAAAAGACCCCCAAGAGUUUUCGCUGCCAGCGGUAAACCUUUGCACUUUCUCGCUAUUUCUCUGCCAAAUGUUUCCAAGUGUGAGAAUGCUCCAGAAUUUGCACUGCUAAAUGCAUGCCUUGCAAACAACUGCCAGCAAUCUUCAUCGCUGAUUACAUUCAAGCGGUGAGAGGGGAUGACAGUUUGCGUGACUUUGCUACAUCUUCAUUCCGUGUUGUCACGACAAUCUACUUCCAGGCUCUGCAUACUGCAAAGGUAGCAGUAAUUUAACCCAUUCAUUGUACACAAUGUUCCACGCAUCAUCUAGAACAAGUAGAAGUUUUUUCCCUUUCAAUGCCUCCAUUAGAGAUUCAUCUGGUUCUUUGGUGCCGCAAGUACCUGCGUUGAUCUUCUUAAGAAUAUCAUCAACUAUCCUGGUGACGUCAAAUUGUUGAGAAGCCCAGACCCAGGCUUUGAGCUCGAAGCACUCAUCUACCCUUCUGUCUUUGUAGAUAAGCUGAGCAAGAGUGGUUUUACCAACCCCUCCCAUGCCCACAAUAGGAAUCACACCUACAUUUGCACCAUCUGUAUUGUUUUUUGUCAACAAGUACUUCAUUAUGGCUUCCUUAUCAGCUUCCCUUCCAUAUACAUGAGAUUCAUCAACCACAGGAGUUGUUUUCUCUGACAAUGGUCUCCAUCCACCAGUACCUUCUAUGUGGCGCAGAUCACCCUUGUGUUUAACUAAACGCUCAAGCUUCUCAUAGAUCUUUUGCAACUCUGCUUCCAUCUCUUUCAUCCUUUUAUUAGCUGGAUUAAGAAUUGGAAACAAAUUCCUUACCUGCAAUGGCGGAACAUAUCCAUGUAUAUGAGAUAGAAUUUAGGAACAUAUAAAUACUAAAAUUAUUAAACUCGUACCGAGUAAGUUAACACAGCUGCAAUGAUGUUUUUUUAUAAAAAAUAAAAAAAUUAAAAUGAGAUUAUUUUUUUAAAAAAAGUUAAGUCUAACCAAGAUUCUAAUGAGAUGAUAGGAUGGUGAAUUAACCCUCCAGGUUACUAAAAAUUGAAAGAUAAAUUCAGCAAUUAGCACAGUAAACAUAAAAAAGUGAUGCAAUGAUAUUUUUUUGAAAAAGCUUUUGAAAAAUAGUAUAUUUUCACCUUCUCACACCUAAGAAAAGCAAUAUUUACUAAAUUUUAUUAUUACUAAGCAUGACAAGAUAGUUGUCGUACUUCGGAAUAGCAACAUUUAGUAAAUAUUGUGUUUUUAAAGAGCGUUAAAGUGAAACUUCAAUCAUCUGAAUCAAUUAAUUGACCUGUUUAUAAUGGUUAGUGAAAUCGGUUGACCAAUCUUGAAAAUGAUAAGAAAAAUCUCAAAAAUACCAAAAUCAAGGGGCCUCGAUGAGAUUUUUGAUAUCUAGAGAUUUGAUAGUUUACAUAACGACAUAGUGGCUACAAUAGGGAAGAUGAUUUUUGAAAACUUCUAUACAAGUUUGAGUGCGAUCUAACAGUCUAAUAAAAAAAUAUAGCUUUUUUAGUUGUUAUUCUGGUAUGGCGGAACCAGAUCUCCUCUUGAGCCUUAAACUAUCUCAUCGGUCCGUAAAUGCAUUUGUUAGAUCAUACACGUAAUUCGUUUAGGAUAAAUUCUCAUUUAGUUAUGAUAGACACACACAUGGCUAUUUAGAAUCACUUGUUAUCACAAGUCUUUAUACAUCAUUGACAUUGAAAAAUAGAUAAUAAUUACUGUGUGAAUAAUAAUUUUUUAAAAUUUUAAUUGAAAUCUAUUUUUUUAGUCUACAUAUUGAACACAUAUAUAUUUUGACUCAUAAUUAAUAUUUGAAAGAAAAAAUUCAUAAAAUUAUAGUUUUUAUGUGAAAUAGUCGACUAGUUAAUACAACUGAAUCCAAUCAACCGACCAGUUGAACAACAUUUACUAAAUGUUGUCAUUUGAAAAUGUGAAAAUAUGCUAUUUCAUAUUUUUCUUUUUCAAUCGGUGUUAUUAUACCAAUAUUUAACAUUUGUUGUGCUAAUUUAAAAAAAAAAUGAAUGGUCAACUUUGAUUUUUUAAAAAAAAAAAUAAUUCAAAUUCUAGAUUGAACAUGUUUUAAUUAAGUUGACAGCUGGGCCAAGCCAGUGGUUGGAAUUUGUUGGAAUAAUAAUGAGUAGUGGUUGCAGGAGAGUAUCAUAGGAUUGGUUGCAUGAGAUAAAUUAGCAUCAUUGGGUGUUGUUUGCAUGAAAUAUUUCAAGAAAAGAUAUGAAAUUUUCUGAUAUUUUACAAUUUCGAAUUGUGCUUGUAAAAAUCAGAGGGAUCGAUACUAACAUUAUACGAGAAAGGCAAAAACAUAUGCUUACCGGAUUCCUCACACGUCGAGAGGCAGCUUUAAUAUCCUUGGAUCGUAGAUGUUCAUAUUCAAUCACCUCCAUUAAGUCCUCAGCUUCAUACACAGCAUGUCUAGCAUCAUUAAGCCACCUCUGCACAGCAGGCUUGGUAAUCUGCUUCUCCUCCGCGUCGUCGAGAAGUCCGUUGAGAGUAUUCAGUGUUUCUUUCAACUUUCCGAGAAGACCAUCAUUGAGCUUGUGGCUUUUGAAGAAGCCCAGAAUCUCAGGAGUGGUCACCUUCUCGCCAGAACCUCAAUGACAGCGGAGAGAAUUGAUCCUCCAAUGUACUCCACAGCCAUGAUGGGAUCUUCCAGAGAAUUGGAAGGAAGCAGAAGCAAAGAAUUGUAGAGAAGAAGAUAGUGAAGAGAACAAGACGUUUAACGAAUGGAAAAGGAAAGAAAAAUCAAAGUAAGUACGCGGGUUCUCAGUUGACUUCACAGCUCAGCCACUCGAAACUAUUGACCCCAGAUUAUCACUAUACAAUUCAUCGGAUACCCUACGAGUUCAGAAAAGACAGUUUCUAAGCUCGAGUGAGAGUAACCUUUGAAUAGUUUCUUAAUUUUUAAUAAAAAAAUCUAAAUUUUUUAAAAACACAUAUUGACUUGCUUUUCUAAACGUUUUAUCUUCGUAAUCUCAGGUAGGAAGCCCACAGGAAUUUGCAUAGGCAGCAAGGAUCAAGGGAGACAGCUGGGAACCUUGACCUCAAAGACCCAAAUAUUAAUUUUAAUUUCUCAAUUUCUUUCCAAGUAUUUAAUAUUGCAUCACUCUCCCACUCUACCGAGUCGUUCCUCGAAUCUUCUCAAGGAAAAGGAUUUAAAAAAGAAAAACACAAUUUAUUAGCACAGAUUGUUUUGUCGGCCAAGAAAAGCAACCGUGAUAAGUGGGGAAGUUAUCAUUUUCUUACUUUUGUGGUGUAAAAUUAUUGAUAUGAAGCUAUCUGGUCAAUUAUCAAAUUAACAAACAAUCUUCCUUUGACGUUGACUUGUCGUCUCAUUUGCCUGAAACCAAGCAUACGUUGUGGAAUUGAAAACUAAGCAAAGUUGCAAUAAAUCUCGUAACUUAUGGAUUGAUUUGGUUCUACGAAGGAGUAAUAUCACAACCAGCUUUGAAAAAGGUGUUGUUUUCGUAGCAUUUAUUUUUUAAAAUAUUUUUAAUUAAAAAUAUAUUAAAAUAAUAUUUUUUAAAUUUUUUAAAAUUUAUUUUUAAUAUUAUUAUAUUAAAAUGAUUUGAAAACAUAAAUUAUUUAAAAUUAAAAAAAAUAAUUUUUUUAAGAAUAAUUUUGAAAUGUAAAAACAAACGUUGAAGGAGGUAUUUGAGAGCAUUAUAGUGGUUAUUUUACUUUAAAAAUAUAUUAAAAUAAUAUUUUUUAUUUUUUAAAAUUUAAUUUUUACUUCAACACAUCAAAACAAUGCAAAAUUAUAAAAAAAUAACCUUCAACAAAAAUAGUUUAAAUUUUAACGAAGAACCCGCAAUUCUAAGUGGGACAAAAUAUAACAAUGCAAGGGAAAAAGGCUGUCAAGUGUGGCAAGGCAGAGUUCCGAAUAUGACAAUAAAGGAAAGCAAACAUCCGACUAUCUUUGUUGUGGCUCCGAAUGGAUCUGUUGCUCGGAUAGGGGAAUGUAGCAUUUCGGCUAAAUUAAACUUAAUUUUUCUUUAAUUAAGUUAAUUAAACUUAUUAAAUUUUUAAUUAAAUCAUUGAAUUUAAUUAAUCCUUUUAAUUUUGAUCAAAUUAACUUUUAAAAUUAAUUUUACUAUGGUUUAAGCUAUUAAUUAAAUUAAUAAGACCCAUUAAAAGUUCAAUUAAGUUUCUAAACUUAAUUAUUUUGCAAGUCUGCCCAAUACUCAAUAAUAAGACCCAUAGUUAAAAAAAAAUGCAAACAGUGCCAUUCUAAUAGAGGUGAGGUAAUGAAGCCCCUGGUAUUCAGGGGAUGAGGGCAGCCACGACUUCAUCAAAUCCUUUAAUUUGGAGCUUUUCUAGAGAAGGCAGCUGCCCAAGUGGUGGCAAGAUGCUGCAGUUCUCACAUCCAGAAAAUGUCAACUUUACCAUAUGUGAGAAAGAAGACUUUCCAAGCCAGCUUGGAAACGCUGUACUCCCGUAACCAUAAAUGCAAAGAUGUUUCACAUUUUCAGAAGGCUCCAAUCUCUCAAGUACUUCUCUCUCGUGCCGUGUGCAUGUCAUCCGUAUUGCCAUCCCACAUCAACCUCAACUCCUCAAUCUUCUGCUUACCCUUCAAAUUGGCAUCCAAAGCAUCUUGAGCAUUUGCAACAUCUCUGAGAUUCCAAAUAGAAAGUUUUUUCAUUAAACGAGAGAGCUUCCCCAACUCUUUCAUGCUAGACCGACUAUCUUUUCCCACGAUGUAGUAUUCCAAAAUUCGACGGUUUGUGAGUUUCUCCAUUUUUUGUGGCAUCUAUUCCAAAUUUGUCCCUUCAAUAUCAAGAUGUUGUAAGUCGACCAAGUUGGAAAUGUUGGAUGGCAACUCCAUGAGAUGUCGGCACCUCUUUAACAAUAAACUUCGCAAAUAGUACAAGGUGCACACACUUUCGGGGAACCUUUCAAUGGCGG
This 19862-nucleotide long non-coding RNA is filed under the name Populus tremula. Its description in RNAcentral is "long non-coding RNA (PTRE_LNC001439)". The stretch from base 16547 to 16689 matches the Rfam family "MIR480 microRNA precursor family". The record is from RNAcentral. Lineage: Eukaryota; Viridiplantae; Streptophyta; Magnoliopsida; Malpighiales; Salicaceae.